This 65-nucleotide transfer RNA is filed under the name Zaitzevhydrus formaster ulanulana. RNAcentral's name for it is "tRNA-Phe". The record is from RNAcentral. Lineage: Eukaryota; Metazoa; Arthropoda; Insecta; Coleoptera; Dytiscidae.
AUUUAAAUAGCUUAUUAGAGCAUAAUAUUGAAGAUAUUAGGGUGAUUUUUUAAAAUCUUUGAAUA